Molecule: transfer RNA, 73 nt
Filed under: Mesocricetus auratus (golden hamster)
Lineage: Eukaryota; Metazoa; Chordata; Mammalia; Rodentia; Cricetidae
Rfam family: tRNA
About the family: Transfer RNA (tRNA) molecules are approximately 80 nucleotides in length. Their secondary structure includes four short double-helical elements and three loops (D, anti-codon, and T loops). Further hydrogen bonds mediate the characteristic L-shaped molecular structure. tRNAs have two regions of fundamental functional importance: the anti-codon, which is responsible for specific mRNA codon recognition, and the 3' end, to which the tRNAs corresponding amino acid is attached (by aminoacyl-tRNA synthetases). tRNAs cope with the degeneracy of the genetic code in two manners: having more than one tRNA (with a specific anti-codon) for a particular amino acid; and 'wobble' base-pairing, i.e. permitting non-standard base-pairing at the 3rd anti-codon position.
Source: Rfam by way of RNAcentral
GGGUUCAUAGUGUAGCGGUUAUCAUAUUUGCUUUACAUGCAGAAGGUCCUGGGUUCGAGCCCCAGUGGAACCA